Long non-coding RNA from Myotis daubentonii (Daubenton's bat), 1620 nucleotides. RefSeq lists it as uncharacterized. The transcript has 5 exons. The record is from RefSeq and is a predicted model, not a curated record. Lineage: Eukaryota; Metazoa; Chordata; Mammalia; Chiroptera; Vespertilionidae.
AGUCAAACGCAGGCACCUCCCACCCCAGGGAACUUUGGCCCCAGCCCUGAGACCAGUUCAGGCAGAAGACGGCAAGGGAAAGUACACAGCCCAGUGGGAAGGCAGCUGGGUCGUGAGGCUCGGGGAGACCACAGCCUCGCCUGCCCCUGCCCCGUGAGCUGGGUGAGCUGACGCCAAGCAAUGAGAAGGGAUGUGAAUGGCGGCCGCGACUGGUCCACAGGCUUUGCGGAACGCCGCCGGUUAGCAUCUUGGCAAGAACGGACUAUCUCAGUCUUGCCCGGAGUAGCCCUGUCGCUCUGACAAGGCGCCGCUGCCUCGAUUUCCAAGCCAGGUGGGGAGCCCAGAUAAGGGGUUCGGGGGGGGGGGCAGCUGCCCACAUCUCUCUUAACCUUUAGUUCCAACAAGACCUGACCUGAGGAUGAAUUCCGCGCCUUCAUCCUACCCCCCUCCCCUACAGAUCCCGGGAGCCCCUAUCCCGCUACCCUCACCCGCUCGCCAGUCCCGUCUCAAUCCCCACCCAGCCCCGCGCCUCUCCUGUGACUGUCCCCCCCUCCUUCCCAGACCCCGGUCCCGGUCUCCAGCCCGCCAAUGAAGCCCCCCAUCGCCCCUAAAGCUCCGCAUUCCUUUCCAAUGGGGCCCCCUCCUCCUCCUCCUCCUCCUCGGCGCCUCGCAGCGGCCCCCGGGAGCCGGAGGGACGGCGCCCAGCGGGCGGGCUGCGGGCGAGAGGUCCUCCGGGAAGCGCGCCUCCCGCGGGCUCCGCCAGCCCCGAGCGCGGCGCCCCCCGCACCCACCUGCCCCAGCGCGGCUGCCGCCAUCGUCGUUGCGGCGGGUAACUGCGCCCGCCCCGCAGAGGACGUCGCGGCCCCGCCCGGUCCACGCCCCCUCCCACCCGGCGCCCAUCCUCGCCCGGCGCCCGCGGGGAGCCCGGCCCGCCGCAGCGCGCAUGCGCCCCGGGCGCGGGGAGUCGGUCCAAACCCCCCGCCCCGCCCCCACCGGGGUCGGUUGCAGCCGCAUCCAGGCUGCUCGCGGGCAAAGAUGCAUUUCGGUCGCUCCUGCCGCGGAGCGCGAGCGCGGAGGAGCGGCCCGAGGGAGAGCGGAAGAGAGAGGGAAAGACAGAAACAUCCUCACACAUCGAUGGGUUGCCUCCUGAAUGAGCCCUGUCAGGGCCCGGGCUGGGGAGGAGCCUGCAGCCAAGGUGCGUGCCCUUGACCGGACUCGGACCCGGGACUCUGUGGUCCGCAGGCCGAUGCUCUACCCACUGAGCCAACCGGCUAGGGCCAGGCACAGAUUCAGGUGCCGGGAUGGAGGCGUGAACAAGAGACGGGAGUCUUGCCCUCCAGGAAACCAGAUGUAAUGCGUGGACCGCGUCCGGAGCUUGGCGUGAACAAACCAACUCUAAUAAGACAUUUGGGGACAAUGGGGAAAUGCACUCCCAAGUACUAAGGGAUGAAUGGACAUCAGACCUGCAACUUACUCUCAAGUAGAGAGACGGAAAAGUCACGCCAAUGUGGUAAAAUAUACACAAUGGAGAGUCUGGGUAUAUGGGAGUUCUCUGUACUAUUCUGGCAAUAUAUUAUAACCUUUAAAUUAUUUCAAAAUAAAAAUAAGCUUUGUAAUCCA